Mya arenaria is the source of this 345-nucleotide long non-coding RNA. RefSeq lists it as uncharacterized. The record is from RefSeq and is a predicted model, not a curated record. The transcript is spliced from 3 exons. Lineage: Eukaryota; Metazoa; Mollusca; Bivalvia; Myida; Myidae.
UUUUGGUCAGUUUGGGAGGGAAUGUCUUGCGGAAAAUGUCUUACUCAGGAGUAAUUCAAGAACGGCCAUCUGCUAUCCGAAUGGAACGUUGGUUGUGGAGAACCCAUCACAUGGCCGUUUCAACGUUGCGGAUGUGGAGUCGGACACAUGCACACCGAGCUGGACUGCUGAUUUUACUUCGCUCAUCCUGGACAGCUGUGCUAUGGAUGUCUCUCACAGGGUGUUGUUUCGGAAGGCGCACCCACAGGGGCUGAUCACGGCAAACAACAGCUCGCCCCAGUACAUAUUGAGGUGUGACCAGAUACCUGUAGAGGGCGUAAUACAAACGGUUGAGGCAACCCUGGA